AAGGUGCUGCAGUGGUUGUCGUCAGCUCGUGUCGUGAGAUGUUGGGUUAAGUCCCGUAACGAGCGCAACCCUUGUCCUUAGUUACCAGCACGUUAUGGUGGGCACUCUAAGGAGACUGCCGGUGACAAACCGGAGGAAGGUGGGGAUGACGUCAAGUCAUCAUGGCCCUUACGGCCUGGGCUACACACGUGCUACAAUGGUCGGUACAAAGGGUUGCCAAGCCGCGAGGUGGAGCUAAUCCCAUAAAACCGAUCGUAGUCCGGAUCGCAGUCUGCAACUCGACUGCGUGAAGUCGGAAUCGCUAGUAAUCGUGAAUCAGAAUGUCACGGUGAAUACGUUCCCGGGCCUU
RNAcentral lists this ribosomal RNA (349 nucleotides) under uncultured Pseudomonas sp. RNAcentral's name for it is "bacterial SSU rRNA". It matches the Rfam family "Bacterial small subunit ribosomal RNA", at positions 1035 to 1382 of the family's 1533-position model. Lineage: Bacteria; Pseudomonadati; Pseudomonadota; Gammaproteobacteria; Pseudomonadales; Pseudomonadaceae. The record is from RNAcentral.